UGACGAGAAGACCUAUGAAGCUAACUAUAAGAUUAUAUUAGAAAAUUUAUUUAUAGAUUGUUUGGGGUAAAAUAUAAUAUUAUUAUUAGUGAUUUAAACACACAAUGAUCUUUAUAAAAUAUUAGGAAAUAGCUACUCUAGGGAUAACAGCGUAAUAAUUAUUAGAGACCCUAUCGAAAUAAUUGUUUGCGACCUCGAUGUUGAAUUAUGGAGCUUAAUUAAAGCAGCAUUUAAUUAAGGUUGUCUGUUCGACAGUUAAUCCAUACAUGAUCUGAGUUCAAACC
This 284-nucleotide ribosomal RNA is filed under the name Pontella chierchiae. Its description in RNAcentral is "partial 16S ribosomal RNA". The stretch from base 143 to 284 matches the Rfam family "Bacterial large subunit ribosomal RNA", at positions 2473 to 2617 of the family's 2925-position model. The record is from RNAcentral. Lineage: Eukaryota; Metazoa; Arthropoda; Copepoda; Calanoida; Pontellidae.